GUAGGGAAUAUUGGGCAAUGGUCGGAAGACUGACCCAGCCAUGCCGCGUGCAGGAAGACGGCCCUCUGGGUUGUAAACUGCUUUUAUCUGGGAAGAAAAAGGCCAUGCGUGGCAAAUUGCCGGUACCAGAUGAAUAAGCACCGGCUAACUCCGUGCCAGCAGCCGCGGUAAUACGGAGGGUGCGAGCGUUGUCCGGAUUUAUUGGGUUUAAAGGGUGCGUAGGCGGCUAAUUAAGUCAGCGGUGAAAGACUUCGGCUUAACCGGAGCAGUGCCGUUGAUACUGGUUGGCUUGAGUGUCGGAGGGGUACAUGGAAUUGAUGGUGUAGCGGUGAAAUGCAUAGAUACCAUCAGGAACACCGAUAGCGAAGGCAUUGUACUGGCCGACAACUGACGCUGAUGCACGAAAGUGUGGGGAUCGAACAGGAUUAGAAACCCGUGUAGUCC
RNAcentral lists this ribosomal RNA (444 nucleotides) under uncultured bacterium. RNAcentral describes it as "partial 16S ribosomal RNA". It matches the Rfam family "Bacterial small subunit ribosomal RNA", at positions 354 to 796 of the family's 1533-position model. The record is from RNAcentral.